GGAGGGGUGACUGAGUGGUUGAAAGUACCGGUCUUGAAAACCGGCGUGCGUGCAAGCGUACCGUGGGUUCGAAUCCCACCCCCUCCGCCA
Molecule: transfer RNA, 90 nt
Filed under: Rhodospirillaceae bacterium
Lineage: Bacteria; Pseudomonadati; Pseudomonadota; Alphaproteobacteria; Rhodospirillales; Rhodospirillaceae
Description: tRNA-Ser
Rfam family: tRNA
About the family: Transfer RNA (tRNA) molecules are approximately 80 nucleotides in length. Their secondary structure includes four short double-helical elements and three loops (D, anti-codon, and T loops). Further hydrogen bonds mediate the characteristic L-shaped molecular structure. tRNAs have two regions of fundamental functional importance: the anti-codon, which is responsible for specific mRNA codon recognition, and the 3' end, to which the tRNAs corresponding amino acid is attached (by aminoacyl-tRNA synthetases). tRNAs cope with the degeneracy of the genetic code in two manners: having more than one tRNA (with a specific anti-codon) for a particular amino acid; and 'wobble' base-pairing, i.e. permitting non-standard base-pairing at the 3rd anti-codon position.
Source: RNAcentral